GCAGUCGAGCGCAUGAAAUUAUUUGAUUCUCUUCGGAGUUGACGAUAAUGGAAUGAGCGGCGGACGGGUGAGUAACACGUAGGCAACCUGCCUGUAAGACUGGGAUAACUCGUGGAAACGCGAGCUAAUACCGGAUAACACUUUUCAUCUCCUGAUGAGAAGUUGAAAGGCGGCUUUUGCUGUCACUUACAGAUGGGCCUGCGGCGCAUUAGCUAGUUGGUAAGGUAACGGCUUACCAAGGCGACGAUGCGUAGCCGACCUGAGAGGGUGAUCGGCCACACUGGGACUGAGACACGACCCAUACUCAUACGGGAGGCAGCAGUAGGGAAUCUUCCGCAAUGGACGAAAGUCUGACGGAGCAACGCCGCGUGAGUGAUGAAGGUUUUCGGAUCGUAAAACUCUGUUGUUAGGGGAAGAACAAGUACUAUAGUAACUGAUAGUACCUUGACGGUACCUAACCAGAAAGCCACGGCUAACUACGUGCCAGCAGCCGCGGUAAUACGUAGGUGGCAAGCGUUGUCCGAAAUUAUUGGGGCGUAAAGCGCUCGCAGGCGGUUCUUUAAGUCUGAUGUGAAAUCUUACGGCUCAACCGUAAACGUGCAUUGUAAACUGGGGGAACUUGAGUGCAGAAGAGGAGAGUGCAUUUCCACGUGUAGC
RNAcentral lists this ribosomal RNA (657 nucleotides) under Oceanobacillus iheyensis. Its description in RNAcentral is "bacterial SSU rRNA". It matches the Rfam family "Bacterial small subunit ribosomal RNA", at positions 57 to 679 of the family's 1533-position model. Lineage: Bacteria; Bacillati; Bacillota; Bacilli; Caryophanales; Bacillaceae. The record is from RNAcentral.